Molecule: long non-coding RNA, 11554 nt
Filed under: Panax ginseng (ginseng)
Lineage: Eukaryota; Viridiplantae; Streptophyta; Magnoliopsida; Apiales; Araliaceae
Description: long non-coding RNA (PGIN_LNC005174)
Source: RNAcentral
UAUAUAUAUAUAUAUAUAUCUUAAUUAAGUCUUACAUAAUUAAUAUACAUAUAUAUACAAAUUAUCCUUUUAAUUUAAAUUCGUGAUUUAAAUAAUAUUAAUCAUAUUAAUAUAUUGAAAUCCUUAAAAUUUAAAUUUAUUCCCUUUUAAAUUACGUUCUAUGUGUGUGACCCUAUAGGUUAUUAUUACGUUGGCAAUAAUUUUAUAAUCAUAUUAUAAAAUUAUAAACAGUGAGCGGCAUCUAGUAAUGCAUCACUGCUACCCAAGUAAUAAUAAGAUCGAUGAUUCGAUGCAACCUUUUCGUGACCAAUGUUUUAAUGUAAUUUAUUCCUUUUAACCUUGACAUCCUAGAUUAAACUCGAGUCAUGGAAUAUGUCAUACUCUUCAUAAUUUAAUAUGUGUUUUCUUGAUCAAUGAGUAGACUAUAUGAAACAAAUCACUAUUUGAGCAUGGCCAUCCAUUUCAUAGUCCUACUCAAUCAAGAGGCCUAUGGAUAUCACCCAUAAUAUAUAGGAUGGUUAAAUUCCAUCUAGAUCACUCAUAUUUCUCACACGAUUAAUGAUGAACCCAAUAAUCACCUUUAUAGUCCACCCUAUUAAAGGUGACAUUUGAUGAUAUCAAAGUACAUAAAUUCUCGUGUAGUAAUAUAGCGAUUUCAGGUCGGAGGACCAUUACAUCAUUGUCACUAUGAGAAUUGCUAAUGACACUUCGCAUGAUGCUCCACAUAGAAUUCUCAUGGUGGGUCUGUCCAGUACAUCGUUCUCUAACACAUACCUAUGCAUUGACUUAAUAUCUCAUAUAUUUAUGACCAAUGAGAUUUGGUCAUCAGUCAAUCCACAUACUAGUCUCAAUGCAUCAUUGUUGUCCUAUCAACAAUGGUACUCGACUAGGGACAUUGAAGAGCAAUGAUACUAAUUGUAAUUAUAUAAUCUCAUGUUCAAGUCACAUACUUGAAACUAUAUAAAUUGUAUCACUAUUCUAAGGAAUUUAUUAUGUUAACAUUUAUAUAACGCAGUAAUUAAAACCAUAAUAAAAUCAUUCAUUUAUUUAAUCAAAUAUAAUAUCAAAUGUUAAGCAAGUAUAUCAUAUAAUUGGCCUCUAAAGCAUAAACUCUAACAAGCAUCUAUCUAGAAUAGUCGUUCAUCGGAUUCCUUUCGAAAUUUGAUUUCCAACUCUAACUUUGUCAUUGCUGAAAUAAGCUCCUCCUGAGUAGUUAUCAGCAUCAACUUCUCCUGACCUUUUCUGCUCAAAGCAUCUGCAACCACAUUCGUUUUGCCCGGGUUAUAAAAGAUCUCACAAUCGUAAUCCUUUAUCAAUUCCAUCCAUCUUCUUUGACGCAUAUUCAGGUCAUUCUAUGUGAAAUAUACUUCAGACUUUUAUGGUCUGUGUAGAUUUCACAUUUCUCUCCAUAGAGAUAGUGUCUCCAUAUCUUGAGAGCAAAUACUACUCCAGCUAAUUCCAAAUCAUGAGUCGAAUAACCUUUCUCAUAAUCCUUCAGUUGCCUUGAUGUAUACGCAAUAACUUUGCCAUUUUGCAUAAGAACACAACUCAAUCCUUUAUUUGAGGCAUCACUAUACACCACAAAGUUAACUAUACUAUCUGGUAAUGACAACACAGGUGCCAUGCUUAAUUUCUUCUUCAAAUCCUGGAAACUUUCUUCACAUUUCUCCGUCCAAACAAAUUUCACAGCUUUCCUUGUCAAAUUUAUUAAUGGAGUGGCUAUCUUAGAAAAAUCUUGAAUAAAUCGUCUGUAAUAACCAGCCAGUCCCGAGAAACUCCUUACUUCCGACGGUGUUCUUGGUUGUUCCCAACUGAUUACAGCUUCCACUUUUGAUGGAUCCACUGAAAUCUCAUCUUUGUCAAUCACUUGCCCAAGAAAUUGCACACGAUUUAGACAAAAUUCUCACUUAUAGAAUUUCGCGUACAAUUAUUCCUUUCUUAGUGUUUCCAAUGUCAAACGUAAGUGUUCCACGUGUUCUUCUUGAGUUUUGGAAUACACCAGAAUGUCAUCGAUGAAUACCACUACAAACUUGUCUAAGAAUGGUUUAAACACCUUACUCAUUAAAUCCAUGAAUGCAAUAGGUGCAUUAGUUAAACCAAAAGACAUCACCAGAAACUCUUAAUGUCCAUACCGAGUUCUGAAUGUCAUUCGAGGUAUAUCCUCCUUCCUCACCUUCAACUGGUGAUACCCACUUCUCAAAUCUAUUUUCGAGAAGUAUUUAGCACCCUUCAACUGAUCAAACAAGUCAUCUAUUCUUAGCAAUGGAUAUUUGUUUUCAAUAGUGACUUUAUUUAAUUCUCUAUAAUCAAUGCAAAGACGCAUUGACCCAUCAUUCUUCUUCACGAAUUACACUGGCGCUCUCCACGGUGACACGCUUGGUUGAAUAUAUUUCUUGUCUAGCAAUGUUUACAACUGUAUCAUCAGUUCCUUCAUUUCUACUAGAGCCAUUCUGUACGGGGCCUUCGAUAUCGGUGCUGUUCCCGGCACUAAAUCGAUCACGAACUCAAUUUCUCUGUCAGGCGGAAGUCCUGGCAAAUCCUCUGGAAACACAUCCUCAAAUUCCCUCACCACUGGUAUCUAUUCCAGUUUCACAUUCUUCUUUUGAGUAUCGACUAUGUAAGCUAAAUAGCCCACGCAGCCUUGACUCAACAAUUUCUUGGCCUGCAUAAUCGUCAGACAUUUCAUCUGUCUAGGCGACUUGCUACCGAAGUACACUACCUUUGACGGGGUCAUAACGUUUACACAUUUCUUUUGGCAAUCAAUUAUCGCUCCAUAUUUGAACAGCCAAUCCAUUCCCAAAAUAACAUCAAACUAUCCAAGUCUAAUCGGAAUCAAAUCUACCAUCAAGAUAUUCUCCUUAAUGUUCACCUUACAGUUCUUGUAUACGAACCUAACAGGGAUUACCUCCUUAUUCAUAAUUUCUAUGUUCAAAGGGAAAUUCAGUUCUUCUCUAGGCAAUUCUAACCUCUUAGCAAAUUCAUCAGAGAUAAACGAGCAAGUAGCACCCGAAUCAAAUAAUGCAUAAGCAUCAAUAUCAUUGAUUGGGAUAAUACCUGACACGACAUCUUUUGAUUGCACAACAUCUUGCACAGUCAUGUUGAAGGUUCUAGCUGUGGGUUUGUUUGAUGAUGUACCUCCACUGUUACCUCUGUUGUGUCUGGUUGUCUCUCUAGCCUUCUUCUUAGGGCAUUCACGAGCAAAGUGAUCCUUGGAUCCGCACGUGAAGCACACGUUCUUCUUAGGUUGAGUGCAAUUUUGGGCGAUGUGACCCUCCUGGCCAUAAUUAAAGCAUAUUCGUUUGUGACGCCCCCAAAUCCAGGUUCUCUAACCUCAGAUUCAGUGCUCACGAUCCUAUUAUCAUCAUAAGCAUUCUAUAACUAUUUUGAAAUAAUAAACAUACAUUGUUAAUUAUAAUAAGGUCUCAUAAUAUAGUCCCAAGGUCUCCAUAACCUUAACUUUAAAUACACCAUUUAUAAUACAAAUAGUUUACUUAAGAAAUUCCAUUAGAUAAUAACUAAUUUAACAUUCAUUCUAAAAUUACUCCUGGAUCUUGCCCUUGCCCUUGUCCUUCGCAUUAGAUCCUUCGGGCUUAACUGAAAAUAGAGGUCAUGAUAUAGCAAGAGUAAGCAACUAAUUUGCUUCACAAGUUUAUAAAGACAAAGGAGAUAUAUCAUGACUUAGAAAGAAAUAUUGCCUUCAAUGUUCAACAAUAAUAUAAGAUUGUGAAGGAACAUGAAUUAAUAAUCAACAAUUGAAUAUUCGAUAAUUGAAUAACAUGAACUGAGUGGUUUUGAAUAACCAUGAACAUUUGCCAAGGUGCUCAGUGAUUUAAACUGGACCUUUUAAUAAGUUUUGGUAUUCAAGGGGAUCAGCCUUUCAUACCCCGUGAUUUAUGCAUAAACACUUAAUAAUCCGACAUUGAUAUCAUGCCUUAAUCAAAUUUGUUCAUUUCUCAGUCAAGAGUUCUUACCAUAUCAAUUAAUAAGAACAGUUAUUUAAAAUCCAUUUGAUUUAACAAAUUUAGACAUGCUUGAUCUAGCUGAUACAAUUAGCAUAGAUCUAUCCCAUAAACAGUUCAUAAAUGAAGAACUUUAAUUUAAUUCACAGUUCAAUGGCAGUAGAACGGAAUUCAAUUGCACAAAGUGCGAAUUUCAAUAAUCAAUAAAGACGUGAAUAAUCAUCAAUAAUUAUUCACUAAUAUGCUUUGAAAAUAAUAACUCAAGUUGAGUUAGGAAACUUGCCUCGAUCGUAGGUUACAGCUACGAAAUAAAUUUCUAUCCACUAUGUAGUUAAAUUAUCUUCCUUUGAGAGACCUAUAAUUAGUCUUUCAAUUAGUCAAUGCAUAACAUCAGAUUAUGUAAUCACAUAGAUAUCAUACAUUACAAUAAGUUCUUAUAAACAUUAUCAUGCCUAGAUAGUGUUAUUAUUAAUUAACGACUACCUUUAAUUCACAUAAUAUUAUUAACUUAGAUAAUAUUAAUUCACCUUCUAGUAUUAUUGGUUCACUAAUAAUACUUUAAAUCAUUUACCAACAUUUUAUUCACUUACUAAUAUUAUUAAUCAUUUAAUAAUAUUUUAUCCCUUUACUAAUAUUAUUAAUCAUUUAAUAAUAUUUUAUUCACUUACUAAUAUUAUUAAUCAUUUAAUAAUAUUUUAUUUAAUCUCGAAUAUUAUUAUUUAAUAAUAAUACUCUAAUCUAAUAUUUUUAUUUACAUAACAACAUCAUAUUAUAAUAUUAUUAGUAUUAUAAUAAUAUUCCAAUGAUUUAUUAAAUUAAUAAACAAUUUAUUCUAAUUGUUCAUCCUUUAAUAACCUCUUAUUUAAUAUCCAUAAAAGGUCAUAAGUAAUAUUUAUUAUUAUAAAUUACCAAAAUGCCCUAAGAUAGUCAUGAUAUAAUAUAUUAUGAGCAUUCAAGCAUAAAAAUCAUAUUUUUCUCAUUAAAGGCAUCAUUUAACUAUUUAUUUCCUUUUAUUCAUAACCUAAUCAUUUUUAGGAAAAAUAGCAAACUGAUUCCAAAAAUUCUCAGCUUCUGGAUUUUAACAGAAUAUGAACCAACAAUGAUCCUCUAAUUUUUCUAGAAUUUUAGAAAAUGAUUUACUAUUUUUAGAGUGUCCAAAACACUCGGAUCUUGCUCUAUUUUUCAUAAAUUGAGUUUUACUCAGAAAAAUCUGAAAUUUUCAGGGUAUGCUCUCUUAACAUAUAUGAAGCUACUGUAAAAAUUUUGGAAUUUUCCAGUGUAUACACAGUGAGAUAUUCGUAGGAUAAUAUUUAUGGAGUCCUUUACGGAAAUAGUCAUUACGCACAAUAUAUAACUCGAAACGUGUCCGUUCUUUUUCCUACGCGUAGAUAACUUCAUAAGGUACCUCUGUAAUAUUUUUCCAGAUUUUUACAAGACAAGGAACUGACCGAAACAGCCUCAUGAAAAACAAGUCAGUAGCUGAUUUAGAGUUUCAAAGCUUUAGCAUAUAAAGUGGACUGUUUUGGGAAAAAUAAUCUUAAAGGUUUCAAAACUUACUAGAUUUGUGAUCUACCACUUGGGUUUACUAGAUAACUCAUGUAUCUAGCACCCCCCUUCGACGGAUCAUAAUUCCAAGUUGUAGAACUUGAGUUACACAAGAUUUAGUGGAAGAAAAACAAGAGUUUUCACCCUUGGAGAACAUAUGCUCAUUUUCUUCCUCUAAGCCUUAGAUCCAACACUCAAGAUACUUAGUUCCAUGCAUGAUGGUAUGUAUAACUAGUGUAUCUUGAGUAGUUGUACAUAACCCCAUCAAAACUCAAGCUAUCAAAACAAGGUAAGAGAAGAAGAUGAAGGUACAUUAUACCUUGACUUAGUGGCUACCUUCCUUGAUUUUCCAAAGUAACUAAUAAACUUAGGGGGCAUAAACAACUAGCACUCCUAUAUUUUUUUCUUUCUAUGGAUGAAAUUCUCUCUUUCUUUUCUCUCUUUGAAGUUGGCUAGCUUGGGAGCAAGAGAUAGAAGAAGAAGAUGAAGAAGAUGGAGAGAAAAUGAAAUGUUGGAAUACGAAUGAAGUGUUGGAAGAAUGAGAUGUGCAUUCAAAAUGUAAUGGGCAAUUCAUUAUUAAUUCUCCCACAAUCAUUUUGUUGCCCAUUAGGUAAAACACUUUGUAUUAUUACUUACCUUAGGUUAAACAUGAUUAAAUGUGCAUAAUGGAGUGGCAACCAAUGGGAGCCUUACAACAUUGUCCUUAUGUUUAUUCAUGUCUACUAAUGGACAAGCUAGAUUAAUUAUUCCACUUAGGAUCCUCAUAAUAUCCACCAUUUAGCUUUUAUUUUAAAUGCCCAAUUUUGAUUAAUCAAAUGUCUAGAAUACCCCCAAUCAAGUGGGCUAAGUAUUGGAUUACAUUUUAUUUUCCUUGGGCUUUUCUUUUAAUUGAUUUGGGCUAGAUAAAAACAUAGUCCAACAAUUUUAAUAAUGUUACCCAAUUUGAUAAUUUAGGGCUUUCAUCUCCAAUCAUAUGAAGUUUAAUUACUUAUACAUAUGAUUUUAUCUCAUAACCUAAUUAGAUUUACAAGAAUUAGGUUUAAAAUUAUUAGUCACUUGAAAUACUAAGUUUACCCACUUAAGUUAGUAUACAUAUAAAAUACUAACUUUUUCGUGUUACCAUAACCCUUAGGUUAUUUAAUAUCCUUACCUAAUGUAUAAUUAGGUCACAAGGCUUUCAUUUUUAAUGAAAUCCAUAAAUGUAUGUAUCCAUAUAUAACACAAAGUUUAAAAAAAAUGUACAUACAUACAUGGUGACUUAAAAUUCACGGUUAUUACAUCGUUUCCCCAUCAAGCACGCACCGUUGUGAAACUUCCCGCAUGUAACACAUGCUUCAAACUUCUUGUUUUGCUGGUUACCCUACUGGUUUCCAGCACCCACAUUUCUAUUCUUCUUCUUCUUCUUCUUCUUCUUCUUCUUCUUCUUCUUCUGUUCCUGAUUGAACUUUGUCACUGCCUCGGCCCCACCUUCAGCGAGUAUUGAUUUAUCCAUCAUGCUGUGAAAGUCUUCAAUUAGAACAGGGAAACCCUACUAUACAACCAGGGCUUCAGUCCCUGUUCAAACCUCUUCGCCUUGCGUUCGUCCGUACUGACUUGAUAAGGCGCAAACCUUGCCAACUCGUUGAAUUUAGCGACAUACUCGGAUACCAUCAUCGUUCCCUGCUUCAGUUCCAGAAACUGCACUUCCAGCUGACCCUUCGAACACUCGGGAAAAUAGGUCUCGAAGAAUAUCUUCUUAAACCUAUCCCAGGUCAUCAAUUCCAUGAAAUUUGGUGUUUAUUGUACAAAUAUCAUCUAUCUAUCUACCCAUAAUAAAUGCAAGUCAUGCAAUAGAUAGAAUAAAAUCUUCCCCUUAAGGGUUACAACAUCCGAAUAAUAAUAAUACAAUCCCAGAUUAAACUAACCUUAAAUAUCUGUGCGGAAUCAUAAACAAAUAAGUCUUAACAACAUCAUUAAACACUACUACAAAAUAGUAAAUAGACAACACUUAAUAGACAACGUUUUUUAUAAAAACGUUGUGAUAUACUUUUUUACAACGUUUUUAAAAAAAAUUUGUAAAUAUAUAUGCAAAAACGUUAUCUAUUUAAAAGAGCAUAUUUUUAGUUUUAACUGGAUAACGUUUUUUUUUUAAAAACGUUGUCUAUCUACAAAGACACGGAGAAGAAAAAAAACAAGACACGAAACAAAAAAAAAAGACACGGAGCAAAAAAUCCACUUCUCAAAAUCGGCUACCACGUAUUCUUUCUUAUAAAUCCCUAAACCUCCAUUCCAUUCAGUAGAUUCAGAUCUUCUUCAUCAAAAAUCCACUUCUCGCAAGCCGCCGCCUCACCUUCCGGUGAGGAAACCCGGCCUUCCGGCUUUCAGAGUUCGAUUGAAGAGGGACGAAGCAAAAAAAAUGCUUAACUGAAUAAAACGCCGGCACUCUCUUUUGUAGCCCAAAACCCUAGCCUCUAUUUUCUCUUACUCCCAAAUCCAUCCCGAUCUCGUCUCUAUUUCUCACCACGCCAACGGCAGGUUGGUUAUGGGUCAUGCUUUGAGGAUAGCAUCUGAUUCCUGUCUCAUCUCUGGAAUCUGUUUCUCUGUUUCUGUCUCUCCUUUUUAUUUUUGUUGGUAGUACCGCCUAUUAUUCUUAUUCUUUGCUUACUUCCCCUCAUAGUUAGCAGUGUUAAAUUAGGUAUAUGGGUUGUCUCUGAUAAAUUAUGUUUAUUUUAUGCACAGGACUCUUCAGGGACGACGUUGAUGGAUCUGAUAACUUCAGUCCCGAUGCCGAUACCAUCAUCUGCUCCUCCACCUCCUUCUCCCUCUUCAGCGUCACCCGCAGCAUUGCCGCCUCCGAGUAGCGGAAUCGAAAAGUUGGUGACAACGGAUCGAAAAUCAAAGAGGGGGACUUUGUUGCAGAUCCAGAGUGACACAAUUUCUGCUGCUAAAGCUGCUUUGAAUCCAGUUAGAAUCAACAUAUUGCCCCAGAAACAGAAGCAGAAGAAAAAGGUUUGAUUAAUUAUUAUUUACACCAAAAUGGGACCGACUGUUUUAUUAUUAUUUGUAUUUCAUAAGUUCAAUACAUCGUUACCACAGUUCCAAACAAAUUUAGAGAUACAUUUCUAAUUUUAGAUUACGAAGUGAAAUGAAAUCCCAACAUGCUAUUAUUUACAUUUUAGGUAGAUUGAGUACCUAUUACAUAUGUUGCAAAUGUUAAAACAAAGUGGAUGACCCUUGUUUACCUUUGUUGGUUAAUAUUUAUUGUGGGAAAUAAAAGGAGUUGUGAAUUGUAUGAACCUCUUCUGAAAUAGUUGUUACUAUAAUUUCUUGGUUCUCAUUCUCCAUUCAUCACAAUAUUCUUCUUAUCUAAGUGGCCAAGCUUGUAGAGAACUAUGGUCGAGUUUGUUUCACAUUCCAUAAAAGUUGACAAACUCAGAUUAUCUAACCAACAUUGACAUAUCCAUUGUUUUGCUUCAAUAAGAUAGCUUCUGCAUAGAGGAACUAAUCUAGAAUUUCACUAACUUCUUCUCAGUCAUGGACCUGCACUGUGGGGAUUGUCAAAUUGUACUAAUACUGUGAUAAUUUGUCAAACACAUUACUUGUGAUUUAUUUUCAUUGGAUUUGGCAUAUUUAUCAUUACUUUUGAAACUGGAUUGCAGCUGGUGGGCGUUUUGACAAACUAAUAGGAAUGUUUGGUAUGAAGCAGGUUCCUGCUGUUGGUGUCAGUUUAGGAAUAGAACGAGUGUUUACAAUAAUGGAACAGCUUCAGAGCGAUCAGAACCAGGUAUGGUAGAAUGCACUAUGCCAUUAUUUUUCUUCUUGUACUAUUAUUCCACCUCUAUGAUAUAUUGAUAUUCUAUCUUCUUGUACUAUUAGUUUGGAUUAAAUUGCUUGGGUUUGAUACUGGUGUGUUGUUUUGUUUUAUCAUUGCGAGUUGAAUGUAUUGCAUAGGUUGGUAAGUAUACAUAUAGAUAUAUACUGGAUCAAGAAAGAGAAUUUUAGAUAUAGGUUCAUUUCACCUAUGUCAUUGACUUGUGGACAGUUUGUUUUCUUGUACAAAUAUUUAAACAAUACUUUUACAAAUAGGUCUCUUUCUCAAGAGUACGACUAAGCAAUUCUAUGGCAGCUUUCAGCUCCCAUGCUUUACUGUUUAGUCGCAAGGGUGUGUUUUCCCUUUAAUUGUGAUUUUGAUUUUAAGUUGUUGCGCCCCUGAAUUUGCACAAGCUUGUGAGGGAGGUCUGUGUGGCUAUAUCAAGUUCAAAUAGGGGGAGUUUUUUGGAACUCGUGCUUUUGGGGUUGGAUCAUAACUAUAGUUUUCUCUUCUCUUUCAUUUAUGUUAUCAGGUCCUAUAUUGUGGGAUCAGAAAACUCUGUGAUGGGACUUGUUCAGGAUGUUUGCUUGUUUUAGUAUUGACUUGUGAUGGGUCUAAAUUGUUGUCUGGGAAUGGAGCAGAUUGGAAAUUUCAUGCUUGCAGUUUCAACUGCUGCGCGACACCUAAUUGAUAGCUUCUUUUACCACAUAUAUAUAUAUAGUCUUUCUGAAUGUUUUGUUGGUAACCCAAUGAUAUAUAUAGCUCCCAGAGUUGCUUAUCUUCAUUUUCGUCAAUCGUGUGAAAGUCCACCAGUAGAUUGACAAUCCUCCAGUGUUAAUGGAUUUUGCGAUUUCAACAUAACUAUCCUGUGUUGUGGUGAUAUUAUAACUGUGUGUGUGUUUUCCAUGGUUGCUUUUAUUUUAUUUUUUCCCAGCUGUUACUUUCUGUUUGAUGAACGGGUAUUUUAUCAAUAUAUAUAUAUCUAUAUCUAUAUCAAUAUCAAAAUCAUAAGCCGAUCUGCCAACUUAGUUGAAUGGGUUAUUUUAUUUUAUUUUUAAUUUCACUCAGAAAAUAAAUCAAUUUGGCUUUGACCAUAAAUAAAUUCAGUUACAUUAGUCAUCAUUUUUGUUUGAAUUUGGAUUACUAUCUAUUUACUGUUUUGUAGUAGUUUUUAUAUAUAGAUGGCUAGACUUUCUGUUGUUGGUCGAAAUUAUUAUCGUGUUUUUCCGUUGAGAGGUAAAAAGUUGUUGGUCGAAAUUAUUAUGGUGUUUUGUAGUAGUGUUUAUUUUCAUUUUAUUUUUUUCUCAUCUUGCUGCUCUAAUUUAUUGGUUCUGAGAUUAAUCUUAUGUGCAGGGGGUGAAGUAUAUGCCUCUUAGGAGAGUUCAAUAUAGCUUAUUGCAUUAAGAAAAGUCAUUAGUCUGAAAUCUUAUUGUGGAUGCAAGUAUUUUCUGACAAUUUUAUUCUUUUUUUGCAGGAGAAUAUUUGGAUUUUCCUUGUUUUGCUGUACGGAGUAGGGUACCUUAAUGAUUCUGAAUCCUUGUUUUGCUGUACGGAGUAGGGUACCUUAAUGAUUCUGAAAAAUGGGGAAAUUGCAAAAAUUGCAUAUAUAUCAGCUAAGGGAGAUUUCAAAUCAUAUAUUUUGUGCCCGUUGAGAAAUGGGAACUCAUAAUGGCACAAACAGUUCUUGAGGCCCUCUUUAUGUCAACGGACAUGUUUUAGACAUGGACAGCAUUUUCCAAUCCUUAGAUGGAUACUGGCCAGAGUCCUGGUUAUUGCUAGGGUAAGCAACUUUCGUUACCAACCCAAGAGCAGAAGCAGGUGCAUGCAGCAACCAAGGAAGCAGCAGUCGAUGGGUUCAGCUGCUGUACCUACUCUAAUGGAGCUGACUUUGUGGUGGAGUCUACUGGAGUAAGGCUGCUGCUCACUUGAAGGUUUGUAGCAUUAUGUUAUUUUCAGUUUUUUGAAAGUUCAAUUGAGUCAUGUCAUGUUCCAGAAUAUGUACGUGUGCACUCAUCUAAGAUAAUGAAUUUAUAUCAUUGCAGUAUGGUGACAGCUUUUGGUUCUGGAGCCAUGUUUUCAUUGGUGAGUGGAUUUGGUGGUCCUAAUCAGGCUGCGAAUGUAGUCACAUCUGGCCUGCUACUAUGCUUAUAAGUUCAUAUAAUGUGACACAAUCACCAUUCUUUGAGCACUCGUUUGUAUUGGAUGUAAUCAAAUUCACAAUUCAUUAUAGUAUUAUAUUGGGAUGUAUUUUGAAUGGNNN